This 61-nucleotide transfer RNA is filed under the name Dipodomys ordii (Ord's kangaroo rat). It matches the Rfam family "tRNA", at positions 7 to 64 of the family's 71-position model. From Rfam's summary of the family: Transfer RNA (tRNA) molecules are approximately 80 nucleotides in length. Their secondary structure includes four short double-helical elements and three loops (D, anti-codon, and T loops). Lineage: Eukaryota; Metazoa; Chordata; Mammalia; Rodentia; Heteromyidae. The record is from Rfam by way of RNAcentral.
GUAGCUCAGUGGGAGAGUGCAUGCCUUGCAAGCAUGAGGGCCCUGGGUUCGAUUCCUCAGC